ACGCUGGCGGCAGGCCUAACACAUGCAAGUCGAGCGGUAGAGAGAAGCUUGCUUCUCUUGAGAGCGGCGGACGGGUGAGUAAUGCCUAGGAAUCUGCCUGGUAGUGGGGGAUAACGUUCGGAAACGGACGCUAAUACCGCAUACGUCCUACGGGAGAAAGCAGGGGACCUUCGGGCCUUGCGCUAUCAGAUGAGCCUAGGUCGGAUUAGCUAGUUGGUGAGGUAAUGGCUCACCAAGGCGACGAUCCGUAACUGGUCUGAGAGGAUGAUCAGUCACACUGGAACUGAGACACGGUCCAGACUCCUACGGGAGGCAGCAGUGGGGAAUAUUGGACAAUGGGCGAAAGCCUGAUCCAGCCAUGCCGCGUGUGUGAAGAAGGUCUUCGGAUUGUAAAGCACUUUAAGUUGGGAGGAAGGGCAGUUACCUAAUACGUGAUUGUUUUGACGUUACCGACAGAAUAAGCACCGGCUAACUCUGUGCCAGCAGCCGCGGUAAUACAGAGGGUGCAAGCGUUAAUCGGAAUUACUGGGCGUAAAGCGCGCGUAGGUGGUUUGUUAAGUUGGAUGUGAAAUCCCCGGGCUCAACCUGGGAACUGCAUUCAAAACUGACUGACUAGAGUAUGGUAGAGGGUGGUGGAAUUUCCUGUGUAGCGGUGAAAUGCGUAGAUAUAGGAAGGAACACCAGUGGCGAAGGCGACCACCUGGACUGAUACUGACACUGAGGUGCGAAAGUGUGGGGAGCAAAC
RNAcentral lists this ribosomal RNA (745 nucleotides) under uncultured bacterium. RNAcentral's name for it is "bacterial SSU rRNA". It matches the Rfam family "Bacterial small subunit ribosomal RNA", at positions 33 to 773 of the family's 1533-position model. The record is from RNAcentral.